GAAGUGCAGAGUUUGUCUUCAGAAACUGCACUUGCUCCCCCACAUUCCUGUGUUGUCUGCAGCAUGGACAGACAGCAGGAGAGAGCUCUCCUUUGCUUUUAGUUAGUUUUAGCUAGCUGAGGCAGAGAAUUUCACUGGUCUGUGGAUCUUCUUUUUCUUGGAACUUUCAGCCCUGCUCUGGACUGAAAACCCAGAAAAACACCAGGAGCUCACCCCUAUGGGCACCGGGCCGGGCCUGGGCCGUGGCAUUUCCAGCAGCGGAGGGACUGAUAACAAACAGAGCCAAACUACAGCCCACAAAGGGGACUUCCUGAGUUUGCCAUCUCUUCAGAACAGCGAGAGGACCCUUGAGCUCUACACGAGUGGGACAUCCUCGUGAAUGGCAAGAUCUGCUCUGGAUUCUGAUAUUCUGAAGAGGGAGUUGGAAAAUUUUACUCCAGAUUCUGGCCACAGCUUUGCUCUGAUAAUGAUACACAGCUGUAUUUACGCUGCUGAAUAUUGACAUCAAAUGUGCCUGCAACUUGUGUGAGGACGAAAUUGGUCCAGGCCAAAUCGCCCCAUGCCAGUGAAGCCAAAUGAGUUGCUCAAAACAGAAAGACUGGAAUGUUCAUUUCUUCACAUUAAUGAAAAGGUAUCUGCUGAAUCGUGGAAAAAGAGACUUAAAAAAGAAAAAUAGAAAAGAAAAAUGGAGAAAUGCUGCCGUGGAAGGAGUCACUGCUUCAGGAACACACAGCCCUCUGGACCAUGCUUCCCUACAGACCCCAGAGCAGGAAGCAAACAUGGAUUCUCUUCGUAGUUUAAUAAGCAAGAGGACAAAAAUAACCUGUAACCUAUGCAUGUCUCUUUCUCAGUUUGCAUCUUGUCCAUACAUGAUUUGGUAUUUUAAAGAUUUCACCCUUAAUUUUUCUUUUCUUCUCCUUCUUCCUGAAUUUCCUCUUCGUCACUCCCUCAAGUUUCACCUUCUUUUGCUCCUUUUUAAAAUGUAUUAUGUUGUGAUCUCCUGUUUUCCCCUCUAUCCCUGUUCAUUUCAGUCCACAAAAUGUCAAGAGGCACCAAAAAACCUAAUUCUAAACUAUUCUCUGUCAGUUAUCCCAAUACCAUCUUUCUUGCAUUAUUCUUUGUUUACACAUUUCUAGAGAUUUGCGGACACUGAAACAAUGUUUUUAACCUAAUUUUGGUUUUAUGCAAACUCCACAUUAAUCAAAUUAUUCUGGGUUACUUCUAAGAUUCUUCACUUUUUCUUCUUUUUAUUUGCCCAUUCUCUCUCAGAAAAUACAAUAUAUCUUUAGUAUUUAUUUGGACCUUUUGGCAUUCUUACUUUGUUAUCAUUUUAAUAAUGCCAUUAACCAUUCCAUAACCUUUCCAGUUGCCCAGAAUACCAUAUUCAUUGCUCACACCAGCCAUCAGUGGUUACUUAUUACAAUUCUGCAUUCAUUCUGUCUUCACAACAAAUGCAUUUACAAUCACAUUGAACCAAUGAUUCCUCUUCAGAGACUCACUCCACCUCUGUCCUUUCCACCCAUGACUUUGUUCCACAAUGUCUGGCACAGAAUAUGAUGCCAAAAUGUAAUUUAUAUUCAUUUUGGUUCAUGCAUUUACAAAACAUUACUCACCUUUAGAAAAAAAAAAAAAACCAAACCACAAAACCUUUACAUUAACUCAUCUCUUUGUUAUUUUCAGUGCAGGAGCAUUACCUACGUGAAGUCAUAUUUUAUUCUUAGCUACAAUGGAAAUUCAGCAUAAUUCCAAUGCCUGAAUAUGAACAGGCAUAGAAAAACAGAAAUAGAACCCUGCCAAAAGUUACUAAAUGAACUUGAUUCCUAAAUACAACACAUUGCAAGUGGCCAUGACAAAACCUGUUUACUUUUGGUCACAGCACUGCCUUGAACUCAACUAGGGAAGCAGGUUAAACAAACCUACACCACAUUUGGCCAGUGUUUGUAAACACCUCUACCAUGCACCAGUUAAAAGGCAUAUGGUUUUAAAAAGUUCACUUGCAAACAUUUCAGAGGCAAUUAAAUAUACAUUUUAUGUUAAAUAUAAAGUAGGGUGGCAGAUAGAACCCUGCAAAAUGUUCGUACAUCAGUAUUACAAGAACCCAUGAGCCUUCAGUUCAGAUGCUUGCUCCACUGUUGAAUCCUCCUUAUUUUUCAAAGGACAUAAACACAAAAAAUUACACAUUUAAUGCAAAUUAUAUACCUAACAACAGAUUAUAUUCCUCUUUUUCACCUUCUAUAUAGUAACCUGCCAUUCUUCAGAUUAAAACACAGCUCUGAGUCAAGUAAAACUUGUAUUUUCUUUGGUCUGUCUUCAAAGUCACCACAUUUCAGCCUGUAUAACACAAAUUGCAGACCCUUCACUUUGUGUCUCUAUUAAUAGUGGUUUACCCCAGUAAAUCAGCUCUAUGGGUUUAAUGCUGCCCUCCACCUUCUAAAUCAAGACAUUGCAAUAGUGCAGUCACAUGCAACAACUGAAUUUUCAAAAUGUAGCACGCAGUAUAUGCUAGUUUUCCAAAAAAUCUUAAGAACACCAACAUUCAACAUCUACUGUUUUCAGAAUGUUUUCCAUUCUCUCAGCUUUUGCUUCCAUUUUCUCUAUCAAUACAAAAAU
This is a long non-coding RNA of Passer domesticus (house sparrow), 2610 nucleotides long. RefSeq lists it as uncharacterized. The record is from RefSeq and is a predicted model, not a curated record. The transcript has 5 exons. NCBI's taxonomy places the organism in Eukaryota, Metazoa, Chordata, Aves, Passeriformes, Passeridae.